Molecule: ribosomal RNA, 518 nt
Filed under: Methylophilus sp. enrichment culture clone VMA9
Lineage: Bacteria; Pseudomonadati; Pseudomonadota; Betaproteobacteria; Nitrosomonadales; Methylophilaceae
Description: bacterial SSU rRNA
Rfam family: Bacterial small subunit ribosomal RNA
Source: RNAcentral
AGCCUGAUCCAGCCAUUCCGCGUGAGUGAAGAAGGCCUUCGGGUUGUAAAGCUCUUUCGCAAGGGAAGAAAACUUACACAAUAACACUGUGUGAGGCUGACGGUACCUUGAUAAGAAGCACCGGCUAACUACGUGCCAGCAGCCGCGGUAAUACGUAGGGUGCGAGCGUUAAUCGGAAUUACUGGGCGUAAAGCGUGCGCAGGCGGUUUUGUAAGUCAGAUGUGAAAUCCCCGAGCUCAACUUGGGAACUGCGUUUGAAACUACAAGACUAGAAUAUGUCAGAGGGGGGUAGAAUUCCACGUGUAGCAGUGAAAUGCGUAGAGAUGUGGAGGAAUACCAAUGGCGAAGGCAGCCCCCUGGGAUAAUAUUGACGCUCAUGCACGAAAGCGUGGGGAGCAAACAGGAUUAGAUACCCUGGUAGUCCACGCCCUAAACGAUGUCUACUAGUUGUUGGUGGAGUAAAAUCCAUGAGUAACGCAGCUAACGCGUGAAGUAGACCGCCUGGGGAGUACGGUCGC